Molecule: ribosomal RNA, 750 nt
Filed under: uncultured Bacillota bacterium
Lineage: Bacteria; Bacillati; Bacillota
Description: bacterial SSU rRNA
Rfam family: Bacterial small subunit ribosomal RNA
Source: RNAcentral
ANAGUUUGAUGAUGGCUCAGAACGAACGCUGGCGGCGUGCUUAAUACAUGCAAGUCGAACGAGAAAGCCUGGCUUCGGUCGGGUGAGUAAAGUGGCGAACGGGUGAGUAACACGUGGAUAACUUGCCUCUAAAUCUGGGAUAAUUCUCCGAAAGGGGUUCUAAUACCGGAUAAGACCACAGAAGGGCAUCCUUCAGGGGUCAAAGGCGGGGCAACCUGCCGUUUAGAGAUAGAUCCGCGCCCCAUUAGCUUGUUGGUGAGGUAACGGCUCCACCAAGGCUCCGAUGGGUAGCCGGCCUGAGAGGGUGAUCGGCCACACUGGGACUGAGAUACGGCCCAGACUCCUACGGGAGGCAGCAGUAGGGAAUAUUGCGCAAUGGACGAAAGUCUGACGCAGCAACGCCGCGUGGGUGAUGAAGCUUCUUGGAGUGUAAAACCCUGUCAGUGGGGAAGAAACGUGCGAAGAGUCACUGCUUCGCGCCUGACGGUACCCACAGAGGAAGUCCCGGCUAACUCCGUGCCAGCAGCCGCGGUAAUACGGGGGGGACAAGCGUUGUUCGGAUUCACUGGGCGUAAAGGGCGCGUAGGCGGGCCUUCAAGUCGGAUGUGAAAACUGUCGGCUCAACUGACAGCCUGCAUUCGAUACUGUUGGUCUUGAGUACGGAAGAGGAGAGCGGAAUUCCAGGUGUAGCGGUGAAAUGCGUAGAUAUCUGGAAGAACACCGGUAGCGAAGGCGGCUCUCUGGUCCGAU